CCUACGGGUGGCAGCAGUGGGGAAUAUUGCACAAUGGGGGAAACCCUGAUGCAGCAACGCCGCGUGAGUGAAGAAGUCUUUCGGUAUGUAAAGCUCUAUCAGCAGGGAAGAAAAUGACAGUACCUGACUAAGAAGCCCCGGCUAACUACGUGCCAGCAGCCGCGGUAAUACGUAGGGGGCAAGCGUAAUCCGGAUGUACUGGGUGUAAAGGGAGCGUAGACGGCUGGGUAAGUCAGAAGUGAAAGCCCGGGGCUCAACCGCGGGAUUGCUUUUGAAACUGUGUAGCUUGAGUGCAGUGGAGGUAAGAGGAAUUCGUAGUGUAGCGGUGAAAUGCGUAGAUAUUAGGAAGAACACCGGUGGCGAAGGCGGCUUACUAGACUGUAACUGACGUUGAGGCUCGAAAGCGUGGGGAGCAAACAGGAUUAGAUACCCUGGUAGUC
This 440-nucleotide ribosomal RNA is filed under the name uncultured bacterium. RNAcentral describes it as "partial 16S ribosomal RNA". It matches the Rfam family "Bacterial small subunit ribosomal RNA", at positions 338 to 795 of the family's 1533-position model. The record is from RNAcentral.